GCUCCGGUGGCCUAGUGGUUAGAGCGUACGGCUCCUAUGCGGGAGGUCGCGGGUUCGAAAACCGGCUGAGGUA
Molecule: non-coding RNA, 73 nt
Organism: Potamilus streckersoni
Lineage: Eukaryota; Metazoa; Mollusca; Bivalvia; Unionida; Unionidae
Source: the annotation of a GenBank genome assembly